UGCAAUAUUCAAAGGAUGAGGCUUGUUCUGUUUAUGGCUCUGCUAUUUCUUCUCCACUGCUUGUUCCAAGAAAGGAGAAGGCAAAACUGUAAAGAAAUUGAAAGGUUGUACCUGUCGUGGCUGGUGGAGACGGUGUUCAUGUGGUAGAUCUUUGAAGGUGGAUGAGCGCGAAGCUUCAGAAAUCGUGCAGGAUUUUAAGCGGAUGGAAGAAUUGGCUGAAGAUGCCACAGAAGAUUAAGACACAAUCAAUCUCAGAGAGAAAAAAAGUUGUGAGACUACAUUUGUUGAAUAAAGUUCGAAUUGUUUA
Molecule: long non-coding RNA, 307 nt
Organism: Saccostrea cuccullata (small rock oyster)
Lineage: Eukaryota; Metazoa; Mollusca; Bivalvia; Ostreida; Ostreidae
Exons: 4
Source: RefSeq, a predicted model, not a curated record